This 32-nucleotide non-coding RNA is filed under the name Rattus norvegicus (Norway rat). The record is from RNAcentral. Lineage: Eukaryota; Metazoa; Chordata; Mammalia; Rodentia; Muridae.
CUGGACUUCUUAAAUGCAGAUUUCCUGCUAAA